Molecule: ribosomal RNA, 1170 nt
Filed under: Escherichia coli
Lineage: Bacteria; Pseudomonadati; Pseudomonadota; Gammaproteobacteria; Enterobacterales; Enterobacteriaceae
Description: bacterial SSU rRNA
Rfam family: Bacterial small subunit ribosomal RNA
Source: RNAcentral
AAAUUGAAGAGUUUGAUCAUGGCUCAGAUUGAACGCUGGCGGCAGGCCUAACACAUGCAAGUCGAACGGUAACAGGAAGAAGCUUGCUUCUUUGCUGACGAGUGGCGGACGGGUGAGUAAUGUCUGGGAAACUGCCUGAUGGAGGGGGAUAACUACUGGAAACGGUAGCUAAUACCGCAUAACGUCGCAAGACCAAAGAGGGGGACCUUCGGGCCUCUUGCCAUCGGAUGUGCCCAGAUGGGAUUAGCUAGUAGGUGGGGUAACGGCUCACCUAGGCGACGAUCCCUAGCUGGUCUGAGAGGAUGACCAGCCACACUGGAACUGAGACACGGUCCAGACUCCUACGGGAGGCAGCAGUGGGGAAUAUUGCACAAUGGGCGCAAGCCUGAUGCAGCCAUGCCGCGUGUAUGAAGAAGGCCUUCGGGUUGUAAAGUACUUUCAGCGGGGAGGAAGGGAGUAAAGUUAAUACCUUUGCUCAUUGACGUUACCCGCAGAAGAAGCACCGGCUAACUCCGUGCCAGCAGCCGCGGUAAUACGGAGGGUGCAAGCGUUAAUCGGAAUUACUGGGCGUAAAGCGCACGCAGGCGGUUUGUUAAGUCAGAUGUGAAAUCCCCGGGCUCAACCUGGGAACUGCAUCUGAUACUGGCAAGCUUGAGUCUCGUAGAGGGGGGUAGAAUUCCAGGUGUAGCGGUGAAAUGCGUAGAGAUCUGGAGGAAUACCGGUGGCGAAGGCGGCCCCCUGGACGAAGACUGACGCUCAGGUGCGAAAGCGUGGGGAGCAAACAGGAUUAGAUACCCUGGUAGUCCACGCCGUAAACGAUGUCGACUUGGAGGUUGUGCCCUUGAGGCGUGGCUUCCGGAGCUAACGCGUUAAGUCGACCGCCUGGGGAGUACGGCCGCAAGGUUAAAACUCAAAUGAAUUGACGGGGGCCCGCACAAGCGGUGGAGCAUGUGGUUUAAUUCGAUGCAACGCGAAGAACCUUACCUGGUCUUGACAUCCACAGAACUUUCCAGAGAUGGAUUGGUGCCUUCGGGAACUGUGAGACAGGUGCUGCAUGGCUGUCGUCAGCUCGUGUUGUGAAAUGUUGGGUUAAGUCCCGCAACGAGCGCAACCCUUAUCCUUUGUUGCCAGCGGUCCGGCCGGGAACUCAAAGGAGACUGCCAGUGAUAA